GACCGUUUCCACCCCGGCUCCCUGACUUCGAGCACUGAUGCAGAGACUUUAAUGGACUUGGCAAAACAGGCGGGGCGUGUUCACACCAUAUCACAUAUCCAGGUAAUAAAGUUAGACAUGCCCAUCUGGGAGCCAUACUCCUACUCUACUGGUGAGCAUUUCUAAUGCAAUAAAUGUUCCACAUUGUCAUCUGUAAUUGUGGAUUGGUUUCUUGACUCAUUUUAUACUCUUUUGUUCCAGCAAUAACCAUCCUGACAUCUGCAAAGUGGAGAGUUGGAAAAGCAGAGCUUGAACCCACAAUUAUUCCUAAACAAAAGCUGGUCCCCAGAGAAACUCUGAAAGAUGUCAACAAGAACCAUGUGAGAGACAACAGCCAGAAAAACGUCAGGGUGAUGGAGGGCUGUGAGAACACGACGAGUCAAAAGACCACAGACACCAGUGAGACGAGCCCGAAAAGGAUUUCUGAAGAAGUUGGUGCUAAAGUCACCGAUACACGUUGUUUACAAAAGGGUGACGAGAAGGAAACUCCUACACCAAGUGAAAAAGGAUUGGAGAAGAGAGGAGAGGUGUCUUCAAGAAGUUCAGAAGAGAUGAAGAAAGCAGUUAGUGAGACAUGCCAGGCAAUAAAGAUGAAGAAGAUGGACGAGCCUGCAGCGAGUGAGAUGCCACAAAGCUGCAAGAACACGGACAAAGAGGCUGGAACGCCGAUUGGAAAAGAGAAGAGCAAAAGUGUCAAAGAUGUCCUGAACCAGAAGAGGAUAAUCUCCUGUCCUGUUGAGGAUGUAAAGCAAGAAAUAAGCCAUAAAAUGGAGCCGCUCGCCUCCAGAGAAGACGCAGCUCGUGAAGAAUCCCAAAACCUGCCAAGUAGCGGACAAAAGCAGGGGACCCCGACAGACGAGGGAGAAAGCGGCAAACCAAUUCACGAGACGGAGAAGGGCAAAGGUAUGUAAAUACUAUAUUUUAGUGUUUCUAUGAAAAUACCUCAGUCUGUGGUUGUUACAGCAUCUUCUAAUGUGAACCGCCAACAAGCAGAUCUGUUGUGGCAGUAUCUCAAGAGGAAGACUCGAGAGCCCGUGGUUGGCUUAAGUGCACUUCUUGAAUGCCAAUGUGAUGAGCGUGACCCCGUCUACCUGUGCGAGUGCUGCUCCCUGAAGAUCCCAGAGAAGGACGUCAUCAGCCAUGUUACCGGAGUUGAACACCAGAAGAUAUAUCUGGGGGGGUUAAAGAAACUGCCACCUCUACCACUGAUGCACCAGGAGAAGAUGAUCGGAUAUUUUGCUGCUAUGUUUGAACAAGAAAAUGGAUAUGGAGAAGCUCAGGUUGUUGAUCUGGAUGAUGAAAUGUACAAUAGCCUCUCAAAACAAAGCUUUAAAUCAGCCAUACAGACAGUGAAGGUGCUUCAGGAUCAGCAGGACGGGGGGCCUGGACUCCCUUCAACCUCAGCUCUGUCUGGUGUUCAACCUGUAGACACAUCAGUCGGUCUUCAUGCUCAACCUGAGCUCUGUUCUGUAGAGGACGACUAUGAGGUCAGUCGUUUUGGCACGGAUCAGGUGGUGGAGAUGGAGAUCGAUGAUGAUCAUGAAGAAUCUGAGGCACAGCCACACUCGGAAACUACAGCCGCAUAUGUGAUGACUGAAACCACGUGCAAAACAACCGGAGCCCCCCCUGAAUCAAACGAAGGUGUCAAAAUGACCCAAAUCAAAGUUGAGUCAGCUGACAACACUCACACCUGCCGGACUGUUUCCAGAAGUAGUGAGGUUAAAGCUGAAAUCAUUAUUAACACAAGUGUGGCACCAGUAAAAACCGCCUCCACCUCUCGUGCAGCCAUCUCAAGUACUGUAGCCAAAGUUACAGCGACAACUUCAUGUAAAGCCGCCACAGUCGCUAACAAAGAGUCCACAGUGGUGCGUGAAGCCGCCUGCAGAACUGCACCUGCGUCCAAAACGAAAAACACAUCUAAACCUGAAGCCGCUGCUAAUAUGACUAAAAUGUCAGUUAAAUGGGAUAAAACUGAAGUCUCUGUCACGGUCACGCAGCUGAAGAAUUCAGUGGGGUCAACAGUCGGUGUUGCGCCGAACGUUCAAAAGAGUAAAGCACCUGCAGCUCCCAACCCCAACCCCAACCCGACCACGACCAAGAAUCCGCCCACAGAGCCGUCCCAUAACUUCACAAGUACGAAAAGGCCGAGUGAAAACCCUCCUGCAGUUGCUGUAAAAAGACUGAAAGCAAUUGUGAGACCCAGAGACGUGCGUGUCUCAUCACCCUCCACAACCGAUAGUACAGAGGUUUUGAGACCGCAAGUGACCUUCGCCAGUCCAGCUUCAAGCCCAGCUGACGGGAUGUACGUGCCACAUAACGAAGAACUUUCUCCGGAUAACCAAUCGGAGCAGGAGAACGAACAUGGCCUCCAGACACUAUUGACUAGCAUUCUAGACGCAGGCGUUGCAGUCAAAAUGGGGAAACCACAGAGUUAUGCGAUUCCUCUCGCCACUGGCUCCGAAGGCAGGUUCGCCCAAACCCCUGGUACGUGCAGAGACGCCCCCGAGAAGAGACGACCGCAGGAGGGACGUGAUCCAGAGCUACAGGACAAACAGGACAAAGGCUCUCGGGAAACGGCACCUGUAAAACUCUUCAACCCGGACCCGCUCUCUUCUGAUGCUACAGGGAAUAGAGAACGGCAGAACCAACCCAGAUUCAGCCUGAAACCAGAACGUGUAUCAAGUCACUCACAAGCAGUCGCAAUCAUUUCAAUAGGGGAAAGCAGUCAUUUGUCCAGGUACCUGAGGGUGACGGGACUUGACCGUGAACCAAUCAUAGGUCUGGGCUUUGUGUGGGAGUGUCGAGGGAUGUCUGAGAGCCCAUUCUUCCUGUGUGAGAGCUGCAUGGAGAUGAUUUCCCACAAUGACAUCUGUGAACACAUGAUGAGAUCCGCUCACAAGUUAAAAUACAUCAUGUUGCACCAUGACUUUCUGUUCUUCUGGCGUUUUGAGUUUCUUCUUAAAGAGAUGAAACAGUACAUUGUAGAGGGCAUCGUCGGGAGGCUCUCGAAAUGCGAGCGUCACAACAAGGUGGAUGCGCAGUGUAUACUGCUGAGACCAGGGUUGUUUGAAUAUGUUAGGUCUCUUCCGUUCAGUGAAGCUUUAAAAAUGGUUAAAGACAUCAAGAAAGAACCUAAACUCCCCUGGCCUACCACCUGUACUCCAGAACAACAGGGAGCAGGGAAAAAAAAGGAGAAAUAUAAUUCGGAAAAGACUGUUGGAGAUCUGGAUGGGGUCAAACCAAGAAGAGUCUUGAGUCCUGUAGAUGUGGCCAGUGGGUCCUCAAAUGCUGAUGCUGUUGUCUCUCCAGACUCUAGUGCUGGCACAUGUCUCAGUCCCCAAAAGCAGCCAGAAACCAGACCCCCAGACUCUCAGCAUCAGAGGCCUGUCCCAGAAUUGCAAGUGAAAAAGGAAGAGGUGCACUCAGAAUACCCCUCUUCCUGUAUUUUUGGUCCUACAACCAGUCAAACCCCGUCAGUGUCUCCCAGAGAUGAAUGCUCUCCAACCAAGAAAAGACCAGCUGCUGAAUCUAUUGAAACACAGGUCAGAUCUGGCACAAAUGACCCCCAACUCGAGGAUCAUUUGCCAGCUAUAUACAAACCGACAUACAGUAAGCUGAGGCCUAUCAGUCAGCCCAGCCCCGAAUCAGCCUAUGAGCCUACUUCUGUUGACCCUUCUGCAACCUCCACCCUCCUGUCUCCUGAGGACAAAGACGCAGGACCUGGAUCUGACAUAUCCACUGUUGACAGGAGAAAGCUUGCUUGCUUAAUUGCUCUGGUGAGAAAGAGGAAGUCUGAGUUAAACAUUUACCAUUGCACGUCAGCUCCAGAUAACGGUGACACUGCUACCUCCUGCGCUUACUAUACAUCUAAAAGUGGUGUGGAAAGAACAUGGGAUCCAAAGUCUGUGCAGACUACAUAUAACAUGGUUAAUGUGACACACAAUCCACCCUCCACUAACUCAUUUAAGGAGAUGUUUUCAACCGCAGCCGCUCCUGUGGUCUUGGGCCAUGAGAACCAACUCGUUAGCCCUAACUCAAUCUCUGCUAACUUUGCCAACAAAUCCUCUCUGGAGGGCUCCACUUCAACGAGGGGCAACUUUUGGUUCGGAGCGACUGAAGCCAAAACAGUCGGUUCCAUCUUUCCUUCUGCCAGCACCGGAGACUCCAGCGGCGCACAACACCAGAGAAGUGUCGAAGCUCAGAGCAACUUUGGAAAUGCGAACCAGCCCAGUCCCAUCUUCUGUGCAGUCACCAACGAUAACCCACAGCCACGAGAUAACACACAGACUGACAGCACUGGGGUUCCCAUUAACACCAUCGUAACUGCCAGGCCAAACCAUGCUAACCACCAGUUUGUGGACGGCUAUAAUGUACAGGAACACGCUGAGGGGAACCAGGGAAUUCAGGUCACGCACCCUGCAUUCAUUCACAAUCCUACCGCAGCCAACAUUGAAGUCCUAUUCAAGGCAUCUGCAAACUAGGGUUUUUUUUUACUCUCGCUCCCGAUACGAUGGAUGACUCCAUGAAAACUACCUGCUAAACCAUUUGAAUACCAAGUUAUUUCUGCAGUACACCCAUUAAAUAUGGCUCUGUAUUGGUUUCUAGUGGACAUAAUUUAGUUUAGAUAUGUGGCUAACAUAUCACGUCUUUAUCAGAAAGAUGCCGUCCAGAAUGUUGGGCUCUUCACACGGCUCUAAAUUAAAUUAGUUGUAAAUUGUUCAUUGCCAUCUUAUUUUUUUAAUGCGUUUGUGUGUGUUCAUAUACACAUUCAUUUUUUUUUAUGAAGUUGAGGAUACUGGCUGUACAUUUAAUCAUAUUUGCUUUAUAUAUGAAGGAUAAGUUUGUAAACCUUUUCAAAAAGCAGAUUAAGCUACUGUAGCACUUUUCAGUUUUUAACAUUUCUAAUGUAACAUCUUGAGCGGUCACCUCCUUUUUUUUUUCUUGGUCGUUUUUAUAUAAAUUCAUGUUUUGUUCAUUUUAAUAAAAUUCCCGUAAAAAUGCAGAUCUUCUGUUUGAAUGUUUUGUAUGGUCUUAAUGAUCUGUGGGAACACAGAUUGCAUCUAAUGUCUCACUUGUCUCACCAUGUACAGAGUACCAUGCACACACACCAUCUCUCCCAUUCAAAUUAGACCAGGUCACCAAAGCAUCAGUAGAGGGAAUGGGCAUAAUGAAAACUGUCGAUCCAAAAUCACUUUCCGCAGAAUUAGGUUUAACUUCUGUAUGUCAAAUUUGGAGCCCAAGUCAAUAACCCAUCUAUAGUUACAGAUGCUUCUUCCCAGAUUAAAUACAUGAUGUAGUCUCACAAAUUUGUCAUUUCUUGAACGAACACUUUGAACAGUUUCAAUUUUCUGCAGAAGGACUGUAUUCAUAGGGAGGUGCACGCAUCUCGUCAGGCAUGAGUUAUGAAUAACGGGAGAUGCGCUGAAAAGGAACAGAAUCUUCUCGACAGAGUGCGAAAGGAAAUAGUUUAGGCAGUUGAGUGUGGGUGGAUACCUGCAGCAGGCGCUAACUGUCUUACACACACUUCUGCAGCAGGUUACUCAAAUCUAACACCCAGAAUAUAUACAGAUAUCUCGAAUGAGAGACAUGAC
RNAcentral lists this long non-coding RNA (5630 nucleotides) under Cottoperca gobio. RNAcentral describes it as "lncRNA (ENSCGOG00000023281.1)". The record is from RNAcentral. Lineage: Eukaryota; Metazoa; Chordata; Actinopteri; Perciformes; Bovichtidae.